GUGCCAGCCGCCGCGGUAAUACGUAGGGGGCGAGCGUUAUCCGGAAUUACUGGGUGUAAAGGGUGCGUAGGCGGUAUGGCAAGUCAGUUGUGAAACCCCCUGGCUCAACCAGGGGCUUGCAAUUGAAACUGUCAUACUAGAGUGCAGGAGAGGAAAGCGGAAUUCCUAGUGUAGCGGUGAAAUGCGUAGAUAUUAGGAAGAACACCAGUGGCGAAGGCGGCUUUCUGGACUGUAACAGACGCUGAGGCACGAAAGCGUGGGGAGCGAACAGGAUUAGAUACCCUGGUAGUCCACGCCGUAAACGAUGAGUGCUAGGUGUUGGGGUCUAAUUAGAUCUCGGUGCUGAAGUUAACGCAUUAAGCACUCCACCUGGGGAGUACGAUCGCAAGAUUGAAACUCAAAUAAAUUGACGG
RNAcentral lists this ribosomal RNA (413 nucleotides) under uncultured bacterium. Its description in RNAcentral is "bacterial SSU rRNA". It matches the Rfam family "Bacterial small subunit ribosomal RNA", at positions 505 to 916 of the family's 1533-position model. The record is from RNAcentral.